GAUGAAGAACGUAGUGAAAUGCGAUAAGUAAUGUGAAUUGCAGAAUUCAGUGAAUCAUCGAAUCUUUGAACGCAUAUUGCGCCCUCUGGUAUUCCGGGGGGCAUGCCUGUUCGAGCGUCAUUUCAACCCUCAAGCACAGCUUGGUGUUGGGACUCGCGUUAAUUCGCGUUCCCCAAAUUGAUUGGCGGUCACGUCGAGCUUCCAUAGCGUAGUAGUAAAACCCUCGUUACUGGUAAUCGUCGCGGCCACGCCGUUAAACCCCAACUUCUGAAUGUUGACCUCGGAUCAGGUAGGAAUACCCGCUGAACUUAAGCAUAUCAAUAAGCGGAGGA
RNAcentral lists this unclassified non-coding RNA (332 nucleotides) under soil metagenome. RNAcentral describes it as "partial contains 5.8S ribosomal RNA, internal transcribed spacer 2, and large subunit ribosomal RNA". The stretch from base 1 to 120 matches the Rfam family "5.8S ribosomal RNA", at positions 35 to 154 of the family's 154-position model. The record is from RNAcentral.